Molecule: ribosomal RNA, 372 nt
Filed under: uncultured organism
Description: bacterial SSU rRNA
Rfam family: Bacterial small subunit ribosomal RNA
Source: RNAcentral
CGGAGGGUGCGAGCGUUGUCCGGAAUCACUGGGCGUAAAGGGCGCGUAGGCGGCCUGGUAAGUAGGGGGUGAAAUCCUGCGGCUUAACCACAGGGCUGCCUUCUAAACUGUCAGGCUCGAGCACGGUAGAGGCAGAUGGAAUUCCCGGUGUAGCGGUGGAAUGCGUAGAGAUCGGGAAGAACAUCAGUGGCGAAGGCGGUCUGCUGGGCCGUUGCUGACGCAGAGGCGCGACAGCGUGGGGAGCAAACAGGAUUAGAUACCCUGGUAGUCCACGCCGUAAACGAUGGGCACUAGGCGUCGGGGGGAGCGACCCUCCCGGUGCCGUCGCUAACGCAGUAAGUGCCCCGCCUGGGGAGUACGGCCGCAAGGCUG